CACGGAGUUAGCCGGUGCUUAUUCGUAUAGUACCUUCAGCUACUCUCGCGAGAGUAGGUUUAUCCCUAUACAAAAGAAGUUUACAACCCAUAGGGCCGUCGUCCUUCACGCGGGAUGGCUGGAUCAGGCGCUAACCCAUUGUCCAAUAUUCCUCACUGCUGCCUCCCGUAGGAGUCUGGUCCGUGUCUCAGUACCAGUGUGGGGGAUCACCCUCUCGGGCCCCCUAAAGAUCAUUGACUUGGUGAGCCGUUACCUCACCAACUAUCUAAUCUUGCGCGUGCCCCAUCUCUAUCCACCGGAGUUUUCAAUAUCAAAUGAUGCCACUCAAUAUAUUAUGGGGUAUUAAUCUUCCUUUCGAAAGGCUAUCCCCCAGAUAAAGGCAAGGUUGCACACGUGUUCCGCACCCGUGCGCCGCUCUCUCUGUUCCGAAGAACAAAUACCGCUCGGCUUGCAUGUGUUAGGCCUCCCGCUACGCGUUCGACUCCUAGAGCCAGGACUCAAAACUCUCUUAC
Molecule: ribosomal RNA, 512 nt
Filed under: uncultured Chryseobacterium sp.
Lineage: Bacteria; Pseudomonadati; Bacteroidota; Flavobacteriia; Flavobacteriales; Weeksellaceae
Description: partial 16S ribosomal RNA
Source: RNAcentral